GCUUGCUUCUUUGCUGACGAGUGGCGGACGGGUGAGUAAUGUCUGGGAAACUGCCUGAUGGAGGGGGAUAACUACUGGAAACGGUAGCUAAUACCGCAUAACGUCGCAAGACCAAAGAGGGGGACCUUCGGGCCUCUUGCCAUCGGAUGUGCCCAGAUGGGAUUAGCUAGUAGGUGGGGUAACGGCUCACCUAGGCGACGAUCCCUAGCUGGUCUGAGAGGAUGACCAGCCACACUGGAACUGAGACACGGUCCAGACUCCUACGGGAGGCAGCAGUGGGGAAUAUUGCACAAUGGGCGCAAGCCUGAUGCAGCCAUGCCGCGUGUAUGAAGAAGGCCUUCGGGUUGUAAAGUACUUUCAGCGGGGAGGAAGGGAGUAAAGUUAAUACCUUUGCUCAUUGACGUUACCCGCAGAAGAAGCACCGGCUAACUCCGUGCCAGCAGCCGCGGUAAUACGGAGGGUGCAAGCGUUAAUCGGAAUUACUGGGCGUAAAGCGCACGCAGGCGGUUUGUUAAGUCAGAUGUGAAAUCCCCGGGCUCAACCUGGGAACUGCAUCUGAUACUGGCAAGCUUGAGUCUCGUAGAGGGNGGUAGAAUUCCAGGUGUAGCGGUGAAAUGCGUAGAGAUCUGGAGGAAUACCGGUGGCGAAGGCGGCCCCCUGGACGAGACUGACGCUC
RNAcentral lists this ribosomal RNA (676 nucleotides) under Enterobacteriaceae bacterium HFB0016. Its description in RNAcentral is "bacterial SSU rRNA". It matches the Rfam family "Bacterial small subunit ribosomal RNA", at positions 74 to 748 of the family's 1533-position model. Lineage: Bacteria; Pseudomonadati; Pseudomonadota; Gammaproteobacteria; Enterobacterales; Enterobacteriaceae. The record is from RNAcentral.